GAGGGUGUAGCUCAGUGGUAGAGCACAUGGUUAGUUUGCACCAGGUCCUAGGUUCAAUCCCCAGUACCCCCA
RNAcentral lists this transfer RNA (72 nucleotides) under Camelus ferus (Wild Bactrian camel). It matches the Rfam family "tRNA". Rfam says of the family: Transfer RNA (tRNA) molecules are approximately 80 nucleotides in length. The record is from Rfam by way of RNAcentral. Lineage: Eukaryota; Metazoa; Chordata; Mammalia; Artiodactyla; Camelidae.